UACAGAGGUCUCAAGCGUUGUUCGGAUUCAUUGGGCGUAAAGGGUGCGUAGGUGGCGCCGGUAAGUGGGGUGUGAAAUUUCGGAGCUUAACUCCGAAACUGCAUUCCAUACUGCGUGCUUGAGGACUGGAGAGGAGACUGGAAUUCAUGGUGUAGCAGUGAAAUGCGUAGAGAUCAUGAGGAAGACCAGUGGCGAAGGCGGGUCUCUGGACAGUUCCUGACACUGAGGCACGAAGGCCAGGGGAGCAAACGGG
RNAcentral lists this ribosomal RNA (253 nucleotides) under uncultured bacterium. RNAcentral describes it as "partial 16S ribosomal RNA". It matches the Rfam family "Bacterial small subunit ribosomal RNA", at positions 524 to 776 of the family's 1533-position model. The record is from RNAcentral.